UGGUGGAGCGAUUUGUCUGGUUUAUUCCGUUAACGAACGAGAUUUCGACUUCUAAAUAGUUCAAGUUAGGGUUCGCUCUAACUGUUGUGACUUCUUAGAGGGACUAUCGGUGUGUAUCCGAUGGAAGUUCGAAGCAAUAACA
RNAcentral lists this ribosomal RNA (142 nucleotides) under uncultured eukaryote. RNAcentral describes it as "partial 18S ribosomal RNA". It matches the Rfam family "Eukaryotic small subunit ribosomal RNA", at positions 1299 to 1458 of the family's 1831-position model. The record is from RNAcentral.